RNAcentral lists this transfer RNA (74 nucleotides) under Luteibacter sp. Sphag1AF. RNAcentral's name for it is "tRNA-Gly". It matches the Rfam family "tRNA". From Rfam's summary of the family: Transfer RNA (tRNA) molecules are approximately 80 nucleotides in length. Lineage: Bacteria; Pseudomonadati; Pseudomonadota; Gammaproteobacteria; Lysobacterales; Rhodanobacteraceae. The record is from RNAcentral.
GCGUACGUAGCUCAAUGGUAGAGCCGCCGCCUUCCAAGCGAGAGAUGCCCGUUCGAUUCGGGUCGGACGCUCCA